Molecule: ribosomal RNA, 152 nt
Filed under: Paraglomus occultum
Lineage: Eukaryota; Fungi; Glomeromycota; Glomeromycetes; Paraglomerales; Paraglomeraceae
Description: 5.8S ribosomal RNA
Rfam family: 5.8S ribosomal RNA
About the family: 5.8S ribosomal RNA (5.8S rRNA) is a component of the large subunit of the eukaryotic ribosome. It is transcribed by RNA polymerase I as part of the 45S precursor that also contains 18S and 28S rRNA.
Source: RNAcentral
AACUUUCAACAACGGAUCUCUUGGCUCUCGCAUCGAUGAAGAACGCAGCGAAAUGCGAUAAGUAGUGUGGAUUGCAGAACUUUGUGAACCAUCGAAUCUUUGAACGCAAAUUGCGCCUUUUUCGGAAGGCAUGUCUGUUUGAGGGCACCAUU